Molecule: ribosomal RNA, 447 nt
Filed under: uncultured bacterium
Lineage: Bacteria
Description: bacterial SSU rRNA
Rfam family: Bacterial small subunit ribosomal RNA
Source: RNAcentral
GACGAACGCUGGCGGCGUGCUUAACACAUGCAAGUCGAACGGUAAGGCCCUUCGGGUACGACGAGUGGCGAACGGGUGGAGUAACACGUGGUGAUCUGCCCUGCACUUCGGGAUAAGCCUGGGAAACUGGGUCUAAUACCGGAUAGGACCAUGGACUUCACGGUUUGUGGUGGAAAGCUUUUGCGGUGUGGGAUGGGCCCGCGGCCUAUCAGCUUGUUGGUGGGGUAAUGGCCUACCCAAGGCGACGACGGGUAGCCGGCCUGAGAGGGUGUCCGGCCACACUGGGACUGAGAUACGGCCCAGACUCCUACGGGAGGCAGCAGUGGGGAAUAUUGCACAAUGGGCGCAAGCCUGAUGCAGCGACGCCGCGUGAGGGAUGACGGCCUUCGGUUGUAACCUACUUCUAUAAGGGACGAAGCGCAAGUGACGGUACCUAUAGAAGAAGAC